RNAcentral lists this RNase P RNA (349 nucleotides) under marine eukaryotic metagenome. Its description in RNAcentral is "Bacterial RNase P class A". It matches the Rfam family "Bacterial RNase P class A". From Rfam's summary of the family: Ribonuclease P (RNase P) is a ubiquitous endoribonuclease, found in archaea, bacteria and eukarya as well as chloroplasts and mitochondria. Its best characterised activity is the generation of mature 5'-ends of tRNAs by cleaving the 5'-leader elements of precursor-tRNAs. Cellular RNase Ps are ribonucleoproteins. The record is from RNAcentral.
AGGUAGAGGACCGCGGGUCAAGCUUUUCACCGCUUGAUUCGAGGAAAGUCCGGACUCCACAGGGCAAGGUCGCUGGCCGCAAGUCCAGCGGGAGCGAUCCCGGGAAAGUGCCACAGAAAAGAUACCGCCGCUGGCCCUACGUAGGGCAGAGGUAAGGGUGAAAAGGUGGGGUAAGAGCCCACCGCCCCGGCCGCGAGGUCUGGGGGCAGGGCAAACCCCGGCCGGAGCAAGACCGAAUAGGCAGACGUUUUCGGGCGGCCCGUCCGAGCGCCUCUCUUAGAGAGAGGCCGCGUCUGCGGGUAGGUCGCUAAGAUGGAUGGUCCUCCACGACAGGAUCCGGCUUACGCCU